AUACGGAGGGGGCUAGCGUUGUUCGGAAUUACUGGGCGUAAAGCGUACGCAGGCGGAUAUUUAAGUUAGAGGUGAAAUCCCAGGGCUCAACCCUGGAACUGCCUUUAAAACUGGGUAUCUAGAGUUAUGGAGAGGUAAGUGGAAUUCCUAGUGUAGAGGUGAAAUUCGUAGAUAUUAGGAGGAACACCAGAGGCGAAGGCGGCUUACUGGACAUAUACUGACGCUGAGGUACGAAAGUGUGGGGAGCGAACGGGAUUAGAUACCCUAGUAGUCC
This 274-nucleotide ribosomal RNA is filed under the name uncultured bacterium. Its description in RNAcentral is "partial 16S ribosomal RNA". It matches the Rfam family "Bacterial small subunit ribosomal RNA", at positions 523 to 796 of the family's 1533-position model. The record is from RNAcentral.